RNAcentral lists this long non-coding RNA (5208 nucleotides) under Citrus x clementina. RNAcentral's name for it is "Citrus clementina (C. clementina) long non-coding RNA (CCLE_LNC001843)". Lineage: Eukaryota; Viridiplantae; Streptophyta; Magnoliopsida; Sapindales; Rutaceae. The record is from RNAcentral.
CCUAAAAGAAAGUCUCAAUAAAUUACCUGUCUUAUCCAUCUCUAACCUGCUUUACAAUUGACAAUAUAUUAUCAUACUUAGAAUUUUGGUCAAUCAUAUUUUUGCUCAAUUCGUGUUCUAAAAUUUGAAUCGGGAUUCUUUCUUCCAACGAGUCAAAAUUGUCGCCACUUUUUUCGAUACCAUGUAACUAGUUGGGAAAAGUCAAAAUACAUUGUGUUUAAAAAAGAUGUGAAACGAAAUAAAUAAUCACAAAAAAACAUUUUUAGAAACUAAAUUUUUUUAAAACUAAAUUUCUGUGAGUAAAAUUGAUUGUCUUGGAUUUUUGCUGACAGCGACGAUACAUAACAAUAACCUAUCUAGUAGCGAAAUAACAAAAUACAUUAGGCUUAAAAAAAGAUUGAGACUAGCUACUAUAUUAAAUACCAAUAAAAAGUGUCUUAGAUAAAUUAUGCAUAAAUUACAUCUUGAUAGCUAACAUUUAGUGAUAAAAACGUAUUAUGGUUGAUUGUAUUUUCUAACCACCGAAAAUGUUUAUUUUCAAUACCAAUUGCCGCUAUUUUUUACUUACCCUUGAGACCAAUGGCGGUGUCAAGAAUUCAAUCUAAUAAGAAUUAAGUUAUUUAAAAAAAGUCAAUGAGGAACAAAUACCAAAAUAAAAAUUUAUUAAUAUAUUCAAUUCAAUACAUUUACAAUUGAUCUCAAAGUGUUUUCCACAUGUUAAAAACAUUGAAGAAUAAUCUUAUUGAUACAAAAUAAAUCUUUUUCUAUUUAUACAAAAAUAAUAUCACUCAAUCAUUGAUCUCUCAUUCGAUUUCACUGAUGAUUUUUUAAAAAAUUCAUAGCCAAAAAUGCCUUUUUUUAUUGUAGCUGUUGUUGGUGCAAAUUUGUCAACUUAUAAUGUGGAAAUUUCAAUUAAGGACGACCCCUUAGGACUUGGGUUUCUUUUUGUUGGAUUUGACGAUAAUGAGUUUACCCUUUGGGCUAAUCUUAAUGGGCCUUUAUAUCUCCUCCUCUGACUUUAUUUCCUUAGGUAAUGAGAAUGUCCUUAUCCAAUAAAACUCUAGAAACACAACAAAAGGGUUAGAGGGCUGGCUUUGCCAACGUAAACCCUCUUAUGGGCAAAUCAGUCAUCAGAUCUUUAGAAAUAUAAAAUUAAAGAGAAAGAAAACUAGAGAGAGAAAGUCAGCAUUUCCUCUCAUGAAUCAAUUUUUUUCAUAACUUUUAGUGAGAAUGAUGGACAUAUUUAUAGGCGAAAUUGAUUUGACUAGAGUCCUAAUUACUUUGAUAACAAGUGUCAUUAUUCUUGUGACAUUUAACAACAUUUGUCUUCUAGCGCUCAUGUUGAUUGACAUAUAGAUAUGCAAAUUUGUCUAUGGAUUAAAAGAAGAAGCAUUUUAUCCUUAGAUUAUUUUUACUGAGAUUUUGGGAUUAUAGGAAUCUUGGAACUUAGGAGGUUUGUUCAGGAUAAGAGCCUAGGAUCUCGAUACCUUUUGGGUUUUGAAUCCUUGCUACCUAGUUGAUUUAUCCUAGGUGGUUUGUCUUAGGAUAGAAACCUAAGACCUCGGCUCCUUUUAGGCUUUGAAGACUUGCCACCUAGUUGAUUUACCCUAGAACGUUUAUCUACCUUUUCAUAGGGAUUGAAUUUAUUCAGGCCCUAACUGGGCUUAUUCUAUUUUUGGUCAAACACUUGCCUCACCCCCCCAGCCUAAAAAUUUCAAAGUGAAAAAAAAUUAGACUAUUUUUCUUAGGAUAAUUUUUCUCUGAGGAAUUUUUCUUUAAAUUUCAUCCUUAUGAGGAUUUUAUCAUAGUAUAUUCUUAAGAUGAUUUUAUUUUAUGGUGAUUUUAUUUUCUAAAAGGAAUUCUUCCUUAAAUUUAAUCCUUAGGAGUAUUUUAUGCUAGGAUAUCUUUAAAAGGAUUUUAUCCUAGGAUGAUUUUCUCUAAGGAAUAUUUUCUUAAAUUUCAUCUUUAGGAGGAUUUUAUCCUAGGAUAUCCUUAAGAGGAUUUUAUCCUAAGAUGAUUUUCUCUAAGGAAUUUUUCCAUGAAUUUCUAUUCAUAGGAGUAUUUUCCCCAAGGAUUUUAAUAUUUGAUUUUCACCUUUAAGAGGAUUUUUUCUGAGGAUUUUGUUUUUUAAAUUUCAUCAUUAGGAGGAUUUUAUCGUAGGAUAUCCUUAGGAGGAUUUUAUCUUAAAAUGAUUUUCUCCAAGGCAUUUCUCCUUGAAUUUCCAUCCUUAGGAGGAUUUGCUCUAAGGAUUUUUAUAUUCGAUUUUCAGCUUUAGGAGGAUUUUAUCCUAGAAUGAUUUUCUCUAAAGAAAUUUUCCUUGAAUUUCCAUCCUUAGGAGGAUUUUCUCUGAGGAUUUUUAUCCUUGAUUACCAUCCUUAGGAGGAUUUUCUCCAAUGAUUAUUUUAUUUCCUUCUUAGGAUUAUUUUUUCCAUCUUUAGAUGAUUUCAUUUCCAUUCUAGAAUGGUUUUUUUUUCCAUCCUAGGAUGCUUUUUUUUUUCCAUCUUUGGAUGAUUUUAUUUCCAUCCUAAGAUUUUUUUUUUCCAUCUUUGGAUGAUUUUAUCUCCAUCCUAGGAUGAUUUUGUUUCCAUCCUAGGAUCAUUUUUUUUAUGAUUCUAUUUCCAUACUAGGAUUAUUUUAUUUCCUUCUUAGGAUUAUUCUAUAUCCAUCCUAGGAUGAUUUUCGGAUAAUUUUAUUUCCAUCGUAGGAAGAUUCUUGCCAUCUUUGGAUAAUUCUAUUUCCAUCCUAGGAUGAUUUUUGGAGAUUUAAACUAUCUUAGGAGGAUUUGUUUCCUUCCUAAGAAUAUUUGAUUUCAAUCAUUACUUGUCUUAAUUACAGAUCUUUUUUAAUUUGCUAAGAUCAUCUUCCUCUCCUAUAUAAUGCCUCAUUUUCCAUUCUCCUUUCUUAUGCAAGUCUUUACUAAAGAGAAGAGAAGAGGUUAGAGAGAAAAGCUCUCAAGGUGCUUGACUGCGGUGAUCCACGGUGCUUGACGGCGGUGUUCAUAGUAGCUAGCGAUGAAUUUUCGGCGGCCUUUGGGCAACUCUCUGGUGAUUUUCCGACGACUUUCCGUGAGUAUAUAUUUAUUCAUUACUUUUUACUAUCUAUUGCCAUUCUUAGGAGAGUAAUCAUAGGUUAUUGUGACUUUGUAGGUUUUUCUUAGUUCAAUAAGACCUAGUAUCGAAAUGACCAAGGUUAAAAAUAUAAUGGUGGAUGCUAUUCCCUUGACAACUAUUCAUGCUACUAUGAGUGAUGUAGGUAGUUGUGAGUUAAAAUGGGAGAUAGACGAGGAUGGCAGUGCAUAUAUAGAAGAAAUAAUAAAAAGAAAAGAGGUGAUUAACUUAGAAAAUUCUAAGGAUGAGGACGAGCUUGUAGUUGAAGAUACCCAUCUAUGGCAGAUGUAAACGAUUAAAUGUGGAUUAGAUGAGAUGUCCCUUGAGAUACUAAUGAUUAGAUAUAACAUUAAUUGAUUAAUAACACUUCAUCGUGCUUCACUUAGAAGGAGCAUUACCAAUCCUCCUAAGGGCUUUGUUGGGAUCACUAGGUGUAUGUGGAAUUCUGGAGUACAAAUCUCAUUUCGUCCUUAUGUUCGAAAGAUAUUAUAUGCCUCAGGACUUGUUCUAGCUCAACUUUCUCAUAAAGCUUGGUGCUAUAUUACAUGCCGUAUGAUAGGUAGAUAAACACCAAAAUUCUUCAGCCUUAGGACAUCUCUGUGGAUGAAAAAAACUUUUAAAUUCAGCUACAAAAGGAUCCUUGAAGCCUAGGUAACGCCAAAGAGACCGCAUUCCAACAAUACAAUAUAAAACUUUAGGAGAAAGUUGAGCUAGAAGAAGUCCUAAGGCAUGUAAUAUCCUUCGAACAUAGGGAUGAAAUAGGAGUUAUACUCCAAAAUUCCACAUACUCCUAGUAAUCUUAGCGAAGCCCUUAGGAGGAUUGGUAAUGCUCAUUCUAAGUGAAGGACGACGAACUGUUAUUAAUUUAGGAAUGUUAUCUUUAAUCAUUAGUAUCUCAAAGGACAUUUCGCUUAAUCCAAAUUUAAUCAUCUUCAUCUGCCAUGGAUAGGUAUCUUUAACUAUAGGCUCGUCCUCAUCCUCAGAGUUUUCUAGCUUAAUCACUUUUUUUUUUAAUUAUUUCAUCUACAUAUGCACUGCUAUCCUCAUCUAUCUCCUUUUUACUACCUACAUUACUCGUAGUAGCAUGAAUAGUUGUCAAGGGAAUAACACCCACCAUUAUAUUUUUACCCUUGGUCAUUUCGAUAUUAGGUCUUGUUGAACUAAGAAAACCCUACAAAGUCACAAUGACCUAUGAUUACUCUGCUAGGAAUAACAAUAAAUAAUAAAAAGUAAUGAAUAAAUAAAUACUCACGGAAAGUCAUCGGAAAAUCACCAUAGAGUUGCCAAAAGGCCAUCGAAAAUUCAAUGCUAGCCAGUAUAAACACCCCGUUAGGCACCGUGGAUCACCGCUGUCAAGCACCUUGGGAGCCUUUCUCUUUAAUCUCUUCUAUUCUCUUUUGUAAAGACUUGCAUGAGAAAAGUGAAUGGGAAAUGAGACAUUAUAUUGGAGAGGAAGAUGAUCUUAGCAAAUUAGAAAGGAUAUGUAAUUAAGACAAGUAAUGAUGGAAAUCAAAUAUUCUUAGGAAGGAAACAAAUCCUCCUAAGAUAGUUUAAAUCUCCAAAAAUCAUCCUAGGAUGGAAAUAGAACUAUCUAAAAAUUAUCCUAGGAUGGAAAUAGAAUAAUCUUAAGAAGGAAAUAAAAUAAUCCUAAGAUGGAAAUUGAAUCGUCAAAGAAUGGUCUUAGGAUGGAAAAAAAAUCAUCCUAGGAUGGAAAUAAAAUCAUCCAAAGAUGAAAAAAAAAGCAUCCUAGAAUGGAAAAAAAAUCAUUAAAGAAUGGAAAUGAAAUCAUCCAAAGAAUCCUAAGAAGGAAAUAAAAUAAUCGUUGGAGAAAAUCCUCCUAAGGGUGAAAAUCAAAGAUAAAAGUCUUUGGAGUAAAUCCUCCUAAGGAUGGAAAUUCAAGGAAAAAUGCCUUAGAGAAAAUCAUCCUAGGAUAAUAUCCUCCUAAGAAUGAAAUUCAAGGAACAAAAUCCUUAGAGAAAAUCCUCUUAAGGAUGAAAAUCAAAGAUAAAAAUCCUAGGAGAAAAUUCUCUUAUGGAUGGAAAUUCAUGGAAAAAUUCCUUAGAGCAAAUCAUUCUAGGAUAAAAUCCUCUUAAGGAUAUCC